This 250-nucleotide ribosomal RNA is filed under the name uncultured bacterium. RNAcentral's name for it is "partial 16S ribosomal RNA". It matches the Rfam family "Bacterial small subunit ribosomal RNA", at positions 355 to 619 of the family's 1533-position model. The record is from RNAcentral.
UCGAGAAUCUUCCACAAUGGACGAAAGUCUGAUGGAGCGACGCCGCGUGAUUGAUGAAGUGGUUCGCCACGUAAAGAUCUUUUAUGAGGGAAGAAAUUAUUGACGGUACCUCAUGAAUAAGGGGCUCCUAACUCUGUGCCAGCAGGAGCGGUAAUACAGAGGCCCCGAGCGUUAUCCGGAAUUAUUGGGCGUAAAGGGUGUGUAGGUGGCGUUGUUAGUCGUUUGUGAAAGAUCCGGGCUUAACCUGGAA